RNAcentral lists this ribosomal RNA (651 nucleotides) under uncultured bacterium. Its description in RNAcentral is "bacterial SSU rRNA". It matches the Rfam family "Bacterial small subunit ribosomal RNA", at positions 60 to 705 of the family's 1533-position model. The record is from RNAcentral.
AGUCGAGCGGAGAUGAGGUGCUUGCACCUUAUCUUAGCGGCGGACGGGUGAGUAAUGCUUAGGAAUCUGCCUAUUAGUGGGGGACAACAUUCCGAAAGGAAUGCUAAUACCGCAUACGUCCUACGGGAGAAAGCAGGGGAUCUUCGGACCUUGCGCUAAUAGAUGAGCCUAAGUCGGAUUAGCUAGUUGGUGGGGUAAAGGCCUACCAAGGCGACGAUCUGUAGCGGGUCUGAGAGGAUGAUCCGCCACACUGGGACUGAGACACGGCCCAGACUCCUACGGGAGGCAGCAGUGGGGAAUAUUGGACAAUGGGGGGAACCCUGAUCCAGCCAUGCCGCGUGUGUGAAGAAGGCCUUAUGGUCGUAAAGCACUUUAAGCGAGGAGGAGGCUACUGAGACUAAUACUCUUGGAUAGUGGACGUUACUCGCAGAAUAAGCACCGGCUAACUCUGUGCCAGCAGCCGCGGUAAUACAGAGGGUGCGAGCGUUAAUCGGAUUUACUGGGCGUAAAGCGUGCGUAGGCGGCUUUUUAAGUCGGAUGUGAAAUCCCCGAGCUUAACUUGGGAAUUGCAUUCGAUACUGGGAAGCUAGAGUAUGGGAGAGGAUGGUAGAAUUCCAGGUGUAGCGGUGAAAUGCGUAGAGAUCUGGAGGA